GUUAAUUUUGUCUCCAGCCUGUCAAGAUCUUCAGCAGAUGUUUGAGCAAAAAGUCAUCAUCCUCUUCGUCACUCUUCAUCCGUAUUUGGGGUAACAAGCACCUGCUUCCCACAAGAGACUGGACAGCUGAUGUCAGACCUGCACCUUCCUUGAACAUGUUGGUAUCUUACUCUGUAUUUGUUCACGGUGGUCACCCCAGGGUCUCAGGACUCAAAUUGAGUGCUCUAUGGAUUAAACAGAAAAUGCAGUAUAAACAAGUGUUAUGUUGUCUUCAACAUGUUGGUAACUUACUCUGUAUUUGUUCACGGUGGUCACCCCAGGGUCUCAGGACUCAAAACGAGUGCUCUAUGGAUUGAACAUAAAAUGUAGUAUAAACAAGUGUUAUGUUUUUAAAUGCCACUAAUAAUGUGUUUCUGUUUUCUUUCUCAUUAUGCUAACAAACACUCUUUUACCCCUCAUGUUAGGUAGAUCAACACUCCAACCAUCUGCAUUAGGGACUGAAUAAAGGAUGCCCUCUGUAGCUGGGAAUGUUAGAUCAGGCGGAUCAACAUUCCAUCCAUCUGCAUUAUGAUCUACCUUAGAGACACUCACUGGAGCUGUAAAUGGGAAGCAGGUCACUUACUUUGCAUUCGUCCUUGGUGGUCACCCAAGGGUCUCUAGAGUGAAAAUUACUCAAUCUAUGGAUUAAACAGAAAAUUUAGUUGUAUGAAGUGGUAUGUUGUCUUUAAAUGCCAUUAAAAAUGUGUUUCUGUUUUCUGUCUCAUAUUAAGAAAUACUCUUUAACCUGCCCACUGGAGCUGGGAAUGCAAUUUGGGACAUUCUUCCAGUUGUCGGCAACUUUGUGAAAAAGGCUGGAAACUUAAAUGCAGUUUAACUGAUUCUGCUUACCUGACUCAUGCAGAAUUCUGGCCUGGUGUUUGGUCUGUGCUGUCUUUGGCUCUUGCAUCUCCAUCAUCCUGACCCUCUUUAGCAGCCUGUCCAUGUAUUUAUUUGGAGGCCACCAUGAGCACCCAUCUGCAUAAUAUGACUUUGUUACUCAGAUGUCCAUGCGCUCCUACAAAUUCUACAUUUUUUGUAAAGCUGCAACAAGUUGAAACCCUAUAAUUAUUAACGUUUGAUUUUGAACUAUGUAAUUCACAUACAUGAAUAAGUAACAAAAGCAGAAAUUUAUUAAGAUAUUACCUUUUUGUUGCUUGUUUACUGAUCUAUCAAUCCUUUUGCAUUUUCAUAAUUGUUCAUCAUAACUUGGUAUACAGUGGAUGUGUGGCUGCAGAUAACUUUCUGAAGUCAAUUUAAAAAGACAAAAGUUAAUAAAUGCUGAAUUGGUCAAAUAUACAUUGUUGUAUUUUCACCAUUUUGAUGUUUAGGCAUUUCAUAACUUGAGGGUUAAUUCACGUAUAGUGAUGUUUCAAAUCAAAGAUUAAUUUAUUAAUGACAGCUAAUCAUUUUAUAAAGAUUUUUAUUACAAUAUUUAUUUAAUAUCAAUUUAAUACAUUUAAUUCGUUACACCUACAUUACUGAGCGCAAGGGAGUGCAGCCAACAAAUACAUUCAGGUGUGUUCGACUUAACACCGAGAUGCGCAGACAGCACGUGGUAUGACAUCAAAGUACCGCGAGAGUUUGGGAAAGCCCCGGAAAAGGUUUGAUCUCGCGGUACUUGAUGUCACGAUCGGUUUGCGUGUAGAUCAGCAUGAAGUAGAACACAUCUGAAAGAUGUGUGGGCUGCCUGCACUCAACGUUGCGAUAAUUCAGUAGAGUGUAACCUCAAUCGGUUUUUGCAGCUUCUGGGUGUCGUGUCGAACGAUCGCAGAACGAUUUUUUGUUCUUUUCCAACUCGAUUUUUAACUCCCUAGACUAGUAGGAUGUUCCAACGGGUGAAGCAACAGUGCUGACGGCAGAGUUUCAGUGUCAAUUUUUCAUGCCAUGAUCAGUGGGGCGGAAACCAUUAUGACGUUGCCUUGGACAUCAAACUAAACCAUCUCAUUCUGGCUUUUUUCUAACAUCGAAAUCUCAGAAGGCCAGGACUAAGAUGGACGCAGCCUCCACAUGCAACCUUGCAUUUGAGGAACACCCAUAGAACGGUCAACUUACCCCAUACUCUAACCUGAAUGCAGGGAUCAUAAAACUUUAUCUUUUACCUUAAUUGUUAGAUGGGUGUUGAUACCAAACUUUUUUGUCUCGUCUACCCAGGAGAAAGUCAUGGGUUCUGCUGCUGAGGUUGUCAUAAAGCAUGCUUUUUCCAUUUGUUGCAUUGGGCAAUAUUAUCAAAAGAUUCUGAAAGAAAUAAGAUAAUUUUCAAAGCAUUAACAUGAAUAUGAAAGCAUUAAGUCAUUAAUGAUCAUCUUUUAUUAUUGUUUAUUUAUAGUGUCUUUUAUUCUGCUUACCUGACUCAUGCAGAAUUCUGGCUUGAUGUUUGGUCCACCUGUUAGCUGGCUCUGGUGCUUGGUAGUCUUCUCAAACCUCUGAAUCAAGGCCACCAUGAGAGGCCUUCUGAAGACCAUCAUUACGCUUCAGAUCCAGUUGUCUUAACUAUGAGCCUACCACAAUCCCUGUGCACCAGCUAUGGAAAGUGCAGACCAAACUUCUACCUCCACCUAUAGAACUGAACUGGAGUCUGUGAACUAAUGCUGUGUUCGAGACAACUGGAACAGCAAACAAAGUUGAGUAUCCGACCUCUCAACUUGUGACUGAUCGAUCAGCACCAACCUCAACGAGAUGCAUCAUUUGACAUUGCAGACAAGUUGGUGGCUAGCCUUUCACAGCCUUACAUGAACCGCAAACAAACUUUAAACUAUUUUUACAGCACAUAAUAUUUAUGAACAUGAAUGUUAAAUUAUCCAGUAACCAUUUUCUGCCAUAAUUGGCACAAGAGCACAAACUUCUCCUGGCGUCUCAUUAUGUGGUAAACACGCAAAUGUGAUAUGUGAUUGACUGGAAUGCAUUGAGGUCGGUGGUAGGAUAUUUAAUGACAUAACAUCAGAAAUCCGAAUUGUAACACUGCGCAAUAUUUCACAUAAUUGUCAUGACCUGAUUAUCCUCCCAUGUUUUUAACACAACCAUUGAUUGGUCACACGGAAGCAGAGACUUUGUCCUUUGUAUCUCUCAAAAAAAGAAUUCUAUAUUUAAUGUUAAAAAACACUUACAGUAGACUGUGUUAGAUAACUGUGCUUUUGGAAGUCAUUUCUGAUAACCGCACACCUAACUUGUCUAAUGUCUUAAAAAUAGGCACCAGAGCAAUGUUUGUGGUAACCGUGGUAUAAGAGGAAUAAUUGACUCCGGUCCUUUGAAUUAUUUGAAAAUAAAGCACACCCGCGGUGUAACGGCACUCUGCUUCGCGUCGUGCCGCAUUGCACCUUGGGUGUGCAUUAUUUUCUUAUAAUUCAAUGGCCCGUCGUCAAUUAUUCCUUACAUAUUGAAGGUUGACAGGUUUGUUUGCAUGUAAUUGCAGUAUUAUUAAUUUGGGGUUGAUAGUCCAAUGUUGAUUUGAGAGAAAUUUUUUUUUUCUUUUUAGAUCCUUUCUCUUUUUAAUGCAGCACUUAAGGAUGAACCACCCUGAUCUACUAAGAUGCACAGAUUCAACUCUGGCCCAGCAUCAUCCCCACACCUCAUCUGCCAUCAGUUUAAUUUAAUGUCUGUCAAUUGCAAAUGCUAUUUAUUUCAGUUAUAUUACAACUUAAUGUUAACUUUAAUUGAGACUAGUAUUGUGUAAAGCUGGGGUUUCCAAACUUUUCAUUUCAAAACCUAUUAGACAAGUGUAAUCUAUUCUAGACCCACUAAAAUAUUUUUACAUAUACAUUUUUUUAAUGGGGUAAAACACAUUUGUUCUCUUUCAGUGGAGUCAUUUUAUUUUCAUAAUAUUUCAUAAUGUAAAGCAGUGGUUCUUAACGUUAUUCCUCGAGGCCCACUGCUCUGCACAUUUUGUAUGUCUCUUUUAUCUGACAGACUCAGUUCAGUUCAUUGAGAUCUCUUCUAAUGAGCUGAUGAUUUGAAUCAG
Non-coding RNA from Paramisgurnus dabryanus, 3994 nucleotides. The record is from RefSeq and is a predicted model, not a curated record. Lineage: Eukaryota; Metazoa; Chordata; Actinopteri; Cypriniformes; Cobitidae.